RNAcentral lists this non-coding RNA (166 nucleotides) under uncultured Mailhella sp. Lineage: Bacteria; Pseudomonadati; Thermodesulfobacteriota; Desulfovibrionia; Desulfovibrionales; Desulfovibrionaceae. The record is from RNAcentral.
GGAGGUGCCCUUGAGGCUUGAUAGGGAAUCCCGUGAAAACCGGGAGCGGACCCGCCGCCGUAAACCCCUUCACGGUCCUUAUGGAUCGGGCGUUUUCAUGACCCACUGGCCGAACGGACCGGGAAGGGGAAAACUGCCGGGAACAGCCGGAAGACCUGCCUGACGU